AUCGCUUCUCGGCCUUUUGGCUAAGAUCAAGUGUAGGAACUAUUUAAAAAUCACAUACAAUGUUACUGAAGUUUUACUCUUUUUUUUCAGACUGAUUUUUUUUCUGCUUCAGUGAUAGAAAUUUGGCUUGGAGGAAAAGAAUGAAAAGUCCUUAUUAAGUCUAUUUAAC
This 169-nucleotide small nuclear RNA is filed under the name Lynx canadensis (Canada lynx). RNAcentral's name for it is "U2 spliceosomal RNA (ENSLCNG00005007496.1)". It matches the Rfam family "U2 spliceosomal RNA". Rfam says of the family: U2 is a small nuclear RNA (snRNA) component of the spliceosome (involved in pre-mRNA splicing). RNAcentral also lists the same sequence under 1 other name. Lineage: Eukaryota; Metazoa; Chordata; Mammalia; Carnivora; Felidae. The record is from Rfam by way of RNAcentral.